RNAcentral lists this transfer RNA (77 nucleotides) under Planctomycetota bacterium. RNAcentral's name for it is "tRNA-Val". It matches the Rfam family "tRNA". From Rfam's summary of the family: Transfer RNA (tRNA) molecules are approximately 80 nucleotides in length. Their secondary structure includes four short double-helical elements and three loops (D, anti-codon, and T loops). RNAcentral also lists the same sequence under 1 other name. The record is from RNAcentral. Lineage: Bacteria; Pseudomonadati; Planctomycetota.
GGACCUAUAGCUCAGCUGGUUAGAGCGCUACGUUGACAUCGUAGAGGUCACUGGUUCGAAUCCAGUUAGGUCCACCA